This 407-nucleotide ribosomal RNA is filed under the name uncultured bacterium. RNAcentral describes it as "partial 16S ribosomal RNA". It matches the Rfam family "Bacterial small subunit ribosomal RNA", at positions 30 to 526 of the family's 1533-position model. The record is from RNAcentral.
AUUGAACGCUGGCGGCAGGCCUAACACAUGCAAGUCGAGCGGAGCGGCGGACGGGGGAGUGAUGCCUAGGAAUCUGACUGGUCGUGGGGGAUAACGUCCGGAAACGGGAGCUAAUACCGAAUCCUAUUGGAUUAGCCUGGUGCGGAUUAGCUAGUUGGAGGGGUAAAGGCCUACCAAGGCGACGAUCCGUAACUGGUCUGAGAGGAUGAUCAGUCACACUGGAACUGAGACACGGUCCAGACUCCUACGGGAGGCAGCAGUGGGGAAUAUUGCACAAGGGGCGAAAGCCUGAUCCAGCCAUGCCGCGUGUGUGAAGAAGGUCUUCGGAUUGUAAAGUACUUUAAGUUGGGAGGCGUUACCAACAGAAUAAGCACCGGCUAACUUCGUGCCAGCAGCCGCGGUAAUUC